AUCUGGAUCUGUGUGUGUGUGUGAUGGAUCUGGAUCUGUGUGUGUGUGUGUGUGUGAUGGAUCUGUGUGUGUGUGUGUGUGUGUGUGUGUGUGAUGGAUCUGGAUCUGUGUGUGUGUGUUAAUGGUGUUCCUUCCCAGGCGGUACACUGCUUCUGUGUUGGAGUGGAGAUCUGCACAGAGAUCUGAGUGCACCCUUGACACCCACCGCCACGUCAGACCACAACGGCAUCACUCACAUCGCGACCACAAGCUGAAACUGGACAUCUGCUACCAUAGAAACCGCCAUGACUGUUGACCUGUUGGGUCUAGUCCAGGUCUGAGCCUCAGGUAUGAAGGUCUCACCACUGUGGGAUAUUCAGCCUCAGGUAUGAAGGUCUCACCACUGUGGGAUAUUCAGCCUCAGGUCUCACCGCUGUGGGAUAUUCAGCCUCAGGUAUGAGCCUCAGGUCUGAAGGAUGUUCAGAGAUGUUCAGUUGAUUUCUGGGAUUUCCUUUCUCUUCCGAUCUCAUUAGUGAGAUGUGAUGUUCACUGAGAGCAGGGUUCCUUCCCAAGCAUAGAACCAGACUUCACUGAGAGCAGGGUUCCUUCCCAAGCAUAGAACCGGACUUCACUGAGAGCAGGGUUCCUUCCCAAGCAUAGAACCAGACUUCACUGAGAGCAGGGUUCCGUGCUCAAGCAUAGAACCGGACUUCACUGAGAGGAGAGUUCCGUGCUCAAGCAUAGAACCAGACUUCACCAAGAGCAGCGUCCUGUGCUCAAGAAUAGAACUGGAGUUAAUAGAGAUCAGUGCACACUCAAGCAAGACUUCAUUGGUAGUUCCAUGCUCAAACAUAGAACCCGAAGUGAACAGAGUUUCAUGCUCAAGCAUAGAACCAGACUUCAGUGAGCGAGCAUCAAGUUCCGUGCUCAUGUUUGUUAGUUUGUAAUCCUCCUUGUGUUCCUGCUGAGGCUCAGCUACUAGCCUAGCGUAGCCUAGCCUAGCCUAGCGCUGCUAAGUGUCCUUACGGCUUAGCUUUGCUGUAGGAAUCUAGCAGGGACAGUCUUUGUACAUAACCAAAGGAAACACUGUAAACAUUGCUAUGUGAUGUGGGAAUAUGAUUUGUACAUAAUUUGACACCCAAUAAAAGCCUACCUGUGGUAAUGAU
Long non-coding RNA from Alosa sapidissima (American shad), 1145 nucleotides. RefSeq lists it as uncharacterized. Lineage: Eukaryota; Metazoa; Chordata; Actinopteri; Clupeiformes; Clupeidae. The transcript is spliced from 2 exons. The record is from RefSeq and is a predicted model, not a curated record.